CAGACCUCUAAUCGGAAAAGACUACCCGCUGAGUUUAAGCAUAUCACUAAGCGGAGGAGAAGAAACUAACCAG
RNAcentral lists this ribosomal RNA (73 nucleotides) under Sarmentypnum exannulatum. RNAcentral describes it as "partial 25S ribosomal RNA". It matches the Rfam family "Eukaryotic large subunit ribosomal RNA", at positions 1 to 72 of the family's 3401-position model. RNAcentral also lists the same sequence under 1 other name. The record is from RNAcentral. Lineage: Eukaryota; Viridiplantae; Streptophyta; Bryopsida; Hypnales; Amblystegiaceae.